Long non-coding RNA from Rhopilema esculentum, 860 nucleotides. RefSeq lists it as uncharacterized. The record is from RefSeq and is a predicted model, not a curated record. NCBI's taxonomy places the organism in Eukaryota, Metazoa, Cnidaria, Scyphozoa, Rhizostomeae, Rhizostomatidae.
UCUAAUUACCUCAGUAAAAAUGUAUGUUCAAAUCUGUUUUAUUCCGUGUUAAGAAUCACUUUUUGCUGUUCUCAAGUUGUAUCAAAUGAUAGCUGUUGUAACCUUAAUCAUAAAGGAUUUCCAUUUUUGCAAAAAACUUGAUCUAGGAAGCUUUAUGUAGGCUGGAAUUAUUUUCAUGGUUAAGUGUAGACAGAUAUAUAAUUUGGUGUUUAUUACUCAGUGUUCAUACUAGGGACCUCUGACCUUCUCUCGACCCGGAAGCUUUUAAGCAAUGCGUAAAUGAAAGACAUAUAUUCAAACUUGGUCACAUAGCACAUAUAAGACAGGUAUAUGCUACAAUAAGUUGAGUGAAUGCAAGAGAGCUUUGGAUAACAAACGUCUGCCUCGUUAGAGCCUCGAGAAACCUUCAAAAAUGUACAAAAGGCUGGCCCUCAUCCUUUUGUUCGCGGCCUGGGCACAACUGGCAUCAGCAAACUACAGAACAUGCAACUGCUUCAUUCGAACUGAAGACGAGGCAAAUGCUCCUGUUCUGGUGUCAUGGUCUGACAGAUUAAGCUCCUGUGGCCUUUUCUGUGGCUUUCCUGGCUUCCAUGUUUCUUGCGAUGAGGUCAAAAGCUGGUGCCCCAACAACUGCUUUAAUAAAGCCAAAUCCAAGCUGCGUAGCAAUGCCGAGCUUGACAAAAUGUGCGAGAGACAUGGCAAAAUAGUUUCCGCUCAAAAUGGGAUCCAUAUGUAUGCAUACAGCAAAGUGAUGAACAACUGCGGAGCAGCUUGGGACCACUACAACCUGAAUGCAAAACUUUGUUGUUUCGUUUUGCGACCUCAGAACAGAUGGAUCGGUUACAUAUGUUAGCCUAUGG